Molecule: ribosomal RNA, 567 nt
Filed under: uncultured bacterium
Lineage: Bacteria
Description: partial 16S ribosomal RNA
Rfam family: Bacterial small subunit ribosomal RNA
Source: RNAcentral
UGGGGAAUUUUGGACAAUGGGCGAAAGCCUGAUCCAGCAAUGCCGCGUGUGUGAAGAAGGCCUUCGGGUUGUAAAGCACUUUUGUCCGGAAAGAAAUCCUUGGCUCUAAUACAGUCGGGGGAUGACGGUACCGGAAGAAUAAGCACCGGCUAACUACGUGCCAGCAGCCGCGGUAAUACGUAGGGUGCAAGCGUUGAUCGGAAUUACUGGGCGUAAAGCGUGCGCAGGCGGUUUGCUAAGACCGAUGUGAAAUCCCCGGGCUCAACCUGGGAACUGCAUUGGUGACUGGCAGGCUAGAGUAUGGCAGAGGGGGGUAGAAUUCCACGUGUAGCAGUGAAAUGCGUAGAGAUGUGGAGGAAUACCGAUGGCGAAGGCAGCCCCCUGGGCCAAUACUGACGCUCAUGCACGAAAGCGUGGGGAGCAAACAGGAUUAGAUACCCUGGUAGUCCACGCCCUAAAACGAUGUCAACUAGUUGUUGGGGAUUCAUUUCCUUAGUAACGUAGCUAACGCGUGAAGUUGACCGCCUGGGGAGUACGGUCGCAAGAUUAAAACUCAAAUGAAUUGAC